CACCUCAGCACCAAGGACACAAACCCAAACUAACGCUUUGUAACUGUUGGGAACGAGUGGGAAAUGAAACUUGACGAUGUUUGACGAAACAAAUUUUGAAAGAUCUGUCAAAGUAGGCCCUGUCAAAUCAGCUGAUUUUGCUGCUGUCAAAAAGUUUUCAAGUCCAUCUUUUCAAUAUUUUUUUUUUAAUCAAAUAAAAAUAGAAUUAUAAGAUGUGCAAAUAUGUAAUUUAAAAACAUAGAUAAUCAUCUCCAAACCAUUGAAGUGGUCGCUUUAGCCGAAUUUCCAUUCAGAACAUCGGCACCACCACCUUCGAGAGCAGAUUCCGUUUCGUUUGGGUGAGUGAUCUCCUUGGUGAUCUCAAAAUGCCGCAAGAAAUGCCAACACCGUCGGAGAAGCACCAGAAACGGAAGCGAAGCGCUCAAGCUGAGUUACUUUUGAGUUUCGGAAGCAGCUUUUGGGUCGAACAAAAGUCGAUUCAAGAUUGACAGCAACGGUAAUAAUACAUUGGAUUACGCUCAGUGACGAAAUUCUGAGGCUGAAGGAGGAAGAAGUGUUUGCGAAGAUGAAAAGAAAGAGGGACAAGAAAAAGAAGAACCGGAAACGUCACACCGGAAAUGUUUCAACGAUGACACUCGACGCUGGAGUGAAAGGACGUAAUAAAGAAGGCAAAAUUGUAAUAUGUUGUAAAAAUAUACAUUAAGAAAGAUAAGUAUGAAAUAAACUUAAAAAUAAAACCAAUAAAAUUGUAA
Molecule: long non-coding RNA, 752 nt
Organism: Culex quinquefasciatus (southern house mosquito)
Lineage: Eukaryota; Metazoa; Arthropoda; Insecta; Diptera; Culicidae
Exons: 2
Source: RefSeq, a predicted model, not a curated record